Molecule: ribosomal RNA, 468 nt
Filed under: uncultured bacterium
Lineage: Bacteria
Description: partial 16S ribosomal RNA
Rfam family: Bacterial small subunit ribosomal RNA
Source: RNAcentral
GACGAACGCUGGCGGCGUGCUUAACACAUGCAAGUCGAACGGAAAGGCCCUGCUUUUGUGGGGUGCUCGAGUGGCGAACGGGUGAGUAACACGUGAGUAACCUGCCCUUGACUUUGGGAUAACUUCAGGAAACUGGGGCUAAUACCGGAUAGGAGCUCCUGCUGCAUGGUGGGGGUUGGAAAGUUUCGGCGGUUGGGGAUGGACUCGCGGCUUAUCAGCUUGUUGGUGGGGUAGUGGCUUACCAAGGCUUUGACGGGUAGCCGGCCUGAGAGGGUGACCGGCCACAUUGGGACUGCGAUACGGACCAGACGGCUACGGGAGGCAGCAGUGGGGAAUAUUGCACAAUGGGCGGAAGCCUGAUGCAGCAACGCCGCGUGCGGGAUGACGGCCUUCGGGUGGUAAACCGCUUUCGCCUGUGACGAAGCGUGAGUGACGGUAAUGGGUAAAGAAGCACCGGCUAACUACGUG